This 414-nucleotide RNase P RNA is filed under the name Acidobacteriota bacterium. RNAcentral's name for it is "Acidobacteria bacterium (groundwater metagenome) RNase P RNA component class A". It matches the Rfam family "Bacterial RNase P class A". From Rfam's summary of the family: Ribonuclease P (RNase P) is a ubiquitous endoribonuclease, found in archaea, bacteria and eukarya as well as chloroplasts and mitochondria. Lineage: Bacteria; Pseudomonadati; Acidobacteriota. The record is from RNAcentral.
GCAGUCAGCUAGACGAUCGCCGGUCUUCGCACGGGCAUCGGCCAACGGCGAAGGCGGGAGGAAAGUCCGACCUCCGAAAGGCAGUGCGCCGGGUAACGCCCGGGCAGGGAAACCUGACGGAUAGUGGCACAGAAAAUAUACCGCCCCGAGCGAGGCGCGCGAGCGCCGAGUCGAGGGGUAAGGGUGAAAAGGUGCGGUAAGAGCGCACCGCGUUCGUGGCAACACGGAUGGCAGGCAAAACCCCGCACGGAGCAAGACCAAAUAGGGUGGCGUUUGAGGACCGCCUGUCCGAGGCCACCGGGUAGGUCGCUGGAGCCCGCGGGCGACCGCGGGAUUAGAGGAAUGGUCGUCCCGCCGGGGAGGCCGCAAGGCUUCACCGGAGGACAGAAGUCGGCUUAUCGGGUGACUGCGAUG